Molecule: long non-coding RNA, 100 nt
Organism: Elgaria multicarinata webbii
Lineage: Eukaryota; Metazoa; Chordata; Lepidosauria; Squamata; Anguidae
Exons: 2
Source: RefSeq, a predicted model, not a curated record
GCUGCACCCUGGCUCCCCAGGGGGAACCCUCAAUCCUUGAGCGAUUUGAAGGUGGAGAGGAAAAAUACCUUCAGGACAAUCAUUGCAACGUUGCAUUAAG